CAAGGUCUCCGUUGGUGAACCAGCGGAGGGAUCAUUGCUGGAACGCGCCUCGGCGCACCCAGAAACCCUUUGUGAACUUAUACCUUACUGUUGCCUCGGCGCAGGCCGGCCUCCCUGGAGGCCCCUCUGAGAGGAGGAGCAGCCCGCCGGCGGCCAACUAAACUCUUGUUUCUUAGUGAAUCUCUGAGUAAAAAAAAACAUAAUGAAUCAAAACUUUCAACAACGGAUCUCUUGGUUCUGGCAUCGAUGAAGAACGCAGCGAAAUGCGAUAAGUAAUGUGAAUUGCAGAAUUCAGUGAAUCAUCGAAUCUUUGAACGCACAUUGCGCCCUCUGGUAUUCCGGAGGGCAUGCCUGUUCGAGCGUCAUUUCAACCCUCAAGCACUGCUUGGUGUUGGGGCACCGCCUGUAAAAGGGCGGGCCCUGAAAUCUAGUGGCGAGCUCGCCAGGACCCCGAGCGUAGUAGUUAUAUCUCGUUCUGGAAGGCCCUGGCGGUGCCCUGCCGUUAAACCCCCAACUUCUGAAAUUUUGACCUCGGAUCAGGUAGGAAUACCCGCUGAACUUAAGCA
This 566-nucleotide ribosomal RNA is filed under the name Diaporthe columnaris. RNAcentral's name for it is "eukaryotic LSU rRNA". The stretch from base 212 to 365 matches the Rfam family "5.8S ribosomal RNA". The record is from RNAcentral. Lineage: Eukaryota; Fungi; Ascomycota; Sordariomycetes; Diaporthales; Diaporthaceae.